CUAUUAAGUGUGUGUGCUUGUAGUGUUCUGCUUGUUUAUGUGCGACGAAAACCGCCAGCCAGAUGCCCGAUAAUACCUGAGCCGUGUGUGAUUGCUUCGGAUGUGACUCGUGCGGCGACGUGCUGUCGUGCAGCGGGGACGCACAAUGCGGGUCCUGGAGUGAUUCAUCCCCGGCGAGUGAUAUCUCCCGGCCGCGGCUGGAAUUGACAGAAAAAUCAAGAUGGCCUCCGAGACUCCUUUGCCCCCGGCUGCUACGCCGGACACCGAUUCGGUGGUUGUGUAUAGCACGAACGCGGUGGAAGAACGGGAGAUCACCGUCACAGAGCGGGCACCAAAGCCCAAGCCACCUCCAAUUGAUGUUACCGCAGCACAGCAAUACCAGCAGCCGGACAACAAGACGCCCACGACGGUGCAGCCGCAGACGCCUGGCAGUUCAGCCUACAAGAGCAAGCUGGACAAGGAGAAGAAGAUUGGCCAUCGGCGGGUCGACGAGGAGGGCCAGAUCACUUACAAAAAGAUUCAAACAUCACAAAUUAUAGGUUCAAUUCAACUAGGCAUAGGCUACGCCGUUGGCAGUUUGGCAUCGAAACCAGAGCGUGAUUUAUUGAUGCAGGACUUUGCCAUGGUAGAGUCAAUCUUCUUUCCUGGGGAGGGGAGCAAUCUCACGCCAGCACAUCACUAUAGCGACUUCAAAUUCAAGGCGUACGCUCCGGUCGCCUUUCGAUACUUUAGGGACCUGUUUAGCAUUAAAACUGAAGAUUUUUUGAUGUCCUUGUGCCACGAACCCAUGAGGGAGCUGACAAAUCCUGGUGCCAGCGGGAGUGUAUUUUACCUCACCAAUGACGAUGAGUUCAUCGUAAAAACAGUUCAGCACAAGGAAGCCGAAUUUUUGCAGAACCUGCUUCCAGGUUACUACAUGAACCUGAACCAGAACCCACGAACACUGCUGCCCAAGUUCUAUGGCCUCUACUGCUACCAGUGCGGCGGCAAGAAUGUGCGCGUUGUGCUGAUGAACAACCUCCUACCCUCGGUGGUGCCCAUGCACCAGAAGUACGACCUCAAGGGCUCCACCUACAAGCGCAAAGCGAACAAGCACGAGCGCAGCAAGCGUUCCCCGACCUUCAAGGACCUCGACUUUCUCGAGCACCAUCCCGACGGCAUUCUGCUCGAGGCCGACACAUAUAACGCUCUCAUCAAGACUAUUCAGAGGGACUGCCGGGUCUUGGAGAGCUUCAAAAUAAUGGACUACAGCCUCCUCGUAGGCAUUCACAACAUCGACCAGGCGGCAAGGGAACGAACAGAGCAGCAGAAUCAGGGUGCAAAGGAUGAAGUGAAACUCAAUUCAGCUGGCUCAGAAGAAGACUCCAGCUUUAAACCAACAGGAUCUGGGCUGACGCGGAGUAAGUCCGUAAACCGGCAACGGCUGGCGAACUUCUCCACCGCCAUGGAAUCAAUCCAGGCUGAUGUAGAGCCCAUUGAUCAUGACGAGGAUGUUCCAACCGGUGGCAUCCCAGCGAGGAACUCCAAAGGAGAGCGACUUCUCUUGUUUAUUGGAGUCAUCGACAUUUUGCAAAGCUACCGGCUCAAGAAAAAGCUUGAGCAUACCUGGAAGUCCAUGUUUCAUGACGGGGACUCUGUUUCAGUGCACAGGCCCAGCUUCUAUGCACAACGGUUUCAGGACUUCAUGGCCAAAAGAGUCUUCAAGAAGAUUCCCUCUCUGGAUCUCCCUGAAAUCAAGGGCCCUCAUCGCAAAUUUAGAGCCCUGGUGUCUAGUGUCUUAGCACUGAAGCACUCUCCUUCAAAGAGGAAAGGAGCUCCUGGGAGAACACGUCAGGUUUCAGCCAACGAACAGGAUGUCAUCAAGGAAGAAACAGAAGCGGACACAUCGCCAAGCAGAGAUCAAGGCUCGGACUUGCCAGCGUCUGAGAAGAACUCUGUGUUCAAGUUCAGUGAUGGAGACACGGCAGCCAUGAUGAAAGAAGCACUGAGCUUUUCUUCGCACCCCGCUGGCACAGAGCGGAGCAAAUCCAACUCCGAACAUGUGUCAAAGUCGGUUGUGCUACGUUCGCCUGCCACUGUUGUCACCAUCCGAGCCUCGGAAACAGUCAGCGUGAGUUCCCUGGGGCCAUCUGCCGUGCGCAACCUGACGUGGACUCCCCCCCACAGUGUUGAAGGCUCUACCCCCACACACACGGAAGGCACGCCUUCGUUUACGGAGUCCAGUUCCAGCGGAGACAUUGCUUGCCCAACAACACCCCUUAAGAACUGGAUGAACAAGGGGUCACAGCCUUCGCUCGGCGACUCACAAGGGCUACACGACAGUGAAACGCCACAGGGUGGACCACUCGUUGUCAUGGAAACGUCAGUGUGACUGAUGCACUCAGGCCAGUACAAAAGCAAAAACCUUGAGCAUUGCCAGGCUUUCGCUGCCUUUGCACAUUUUGGCCGUGCGGCCACUUCGCCAUUGGAGAUCAACCAGUGGCCAGCACUGCCUCUGUACGCCACGACCUCCUUAAUCCCAUUAACGAGGAUUGAGCGAAGAGAAAAACAAACAAAAAAGGCCCGCCUUGUGAACGACUGUUCUCUGUGUGCUGUAGUGUUGGUGGCAUCAAGAGGAACCACCAUCGGCCUGCAUGUGUGUGCGUGUUCCGUGUCGUUUACGCCCCUGGCCUCGUGCGCCCUCCCUACCCAACCUGACGAUGCUGGAUACUUUUUCGAUGUAUCAGUGUUUAAUGUUAUAUUCAUUCGCCCCCUUUAUUUUAUUUUUUAUUAUUAUUAGCUUCUUGUCUGCUUGUCUUUGUUGAUUCCGCCGAAGUCUCUACGAACAAACCACUAAUCGGCACAGCAUCUUGAUCAACUAACAGCGUGUGACACAUCACGAUCAGCCAUGCAUCUGCAGCCUGCCUGAAGUUCUACUCAUGGUCACGUGAUGAAAAAAUAUGAAUGAAAAGCUUGUGCAACUGCUGACUGUGCUGUCUCGGGCCUUGACAGCGAGAUUGUUUUGCUGUAUAGUUUGUCUGACAUUGUAUAGGAUACAUGUGUGGUCUCUGUUUUCUUCAGGGAUGGAGCUGUCCUCACUUUUUGUUGUUUUUUAAUUGCAUAUGCUUAUGAUUGUUUUUUGUCUCCCACACUGGAAGUUCACCUCAGUUAAUUCACUGUCCUUUGUCUUUAUGUUCGUGGUCACAGUCAUUCUGUGUAGCACUGCUGCUUCAGUCCACCUUAGGUGAUUAGCGAAGUCAUCGUGUCAGGAAAAGCAGGCUUGGGAAGGUUUGUUAACUUAUCGUGAUGAAAUUGUGGUGAGAAAAAGAGACAUAAAAGCAAGAAAAGGCAACAAGGCACCAAAGCUAUAGACCUGUUCACUUCCUUCUGAAGUCGGUCUUUUUUGCACUAUGUGGUUUUGUCAUGAGUUUUCUUGUGCAACUAGCUGUCUUCUGUUGUGGCCUACACUAGAUACCAAGGAGCUGUGCAUUCUUUUUUGUUUUUCGCAGUUGUGCUUGCUGUAGCAUUCUAUUAGGGGUGUGGGAAUGUUCUAAAUUUCAAAUAUCAUUCGGAACAGUUUUGUUUUGUAUCGGUGUACUCAGUUUGAGAAAAUUGAUUACUUGAAAUAUUUGACUAUGGCUGAAUGUAUGGGGUUAUUACUAUGAUCAUUUAAGCCUGCCUGCUGUCGAUAAAGGUUCAUGAAUAUGGUUCACUGGCCGCUUCACUUUUCCAUGACAAGACUUUCACUAUUUGCUCUCUUGCAAGCUGCUUAGUUGAACAGACUGUCAAUAGCAUUGACUAUAUUGAAAGAAACAAAAUUUACUAUCCCUUGUUUUAUUUCCCCCACUUUGUUUUUUUUUACUUUCAGAAGUUAAAUGGCAUUGCAAACCUAUAUAUUUAAUAUACGUAUUUGAUUUGAUUUUAAAAAAAUUUCACUGUGGAAACACUUCUAAUUUUCCCUUUAAUCACAACUUUCUUACGGUUGGAGGCAGUAAGACACUGAACCGUGGUGGGCAGUUUUGAAGCAGUGGUGAAGGAGCAAAAGUGAACGCAGUUUAAGCAUCAGUAGCCAGUGAUUGACGAUCUAUAUGAACAGUUGGCUUUGUGUUAGUGUUGUCGUCGUUUUGAAAAUGCCUUCAGCAUUGCAACGCAAUACUGCUGUUAUCUAUAGGUACACGGUGGGGGGGGGGGGGGGGGGUGAGAGCAUGUAUUAUACUACCUAUUGUCGUCCCCAGUUGUUUGCACCAUGUGAUCCGUGUACAGAGACUGCUGUCACCAUGUAGGCUAUCACUUCACUGUGCCAUGAAUGUUGUCCGCCUUUACUUAUUGUCCGAUUUGUGUGUAUAGUGAUAGAGGCCUAGGCAUCCUCUCCGUAUGUGUCACAGAAAAGUGCCAGCUCAGCUUGACCUUAGCAGAUAUAUUUAGUUUCACAAAUGUGCACUUCAAGCCUUCUCAGCCAAUGUCUCCCCCGAGUGAUGUGUAACAUACGUACCCUUGAGGCUGUUCGCAAACUGAGUGGAACAAAGGUGCUAGUGUGUCUACCUGUUUUUAGUCUUUUAAUCAGUGCAAUGUGCCGUGCAAGUUGCAGAAGCCUUUUAAAAGUGCAUGAAAUAGUGAUGUUACAAUUGCAAUCUUCCCGAUGUAAAAUAAAAGGUAUCUUCUCUUUUUCACUUUUGUGGCAUGCAUAGUUGAUGUUAAGUUAACUGUGCACGAAUUUUCUCUACUAUUGUCACUCACAAGUGCUGCCUCUGGUUGUUACGAUUUCUCUGUCCUUUUAAGGAGAGAGACAUAUAUUAAAUGUGUAUUUCGUUUUCUUUCCUACUCUUAUUUGUAGCGAAACUGUGCUUGCAUUAAGCUGUGAGGCAAAUUUUCACGUACUGUAUUGUUUACUAUGCAGAACUUCGACGAGUUAGCUAUAAACAAUGGAAUUGUGUCGGCAUAGCAUGUGUGGGCUGGUUGAGUGGCUCUUUUAAUUCAACUUUAUUUCAAACAAAUUCGUGAUAGCUAUGCAAUUUGGCGUGCACCAUUUCGUUAAAUCUCGAUUGAAUAUGUGCAGUGGCAGAGACUUGUCUGCUUUUCUCACAAAGCAGUGGAAAAAAUAAAUGGUCAUGCUGCUGCUGUACUUGCAUUAGAUGUCCACCGAGUUCGUCACGAUGGCUGACUCACAAACCUGUGCUUUUUUCUCCCCCUCAUAACUGCAAUCUCCAGGUCUAGAUUGGGUGAGUCACGUAGAGAGCAGUAGUGUGUCUUGGUGCCUUUGGUUGACAGUUUUCAGUUUUUCCUUUCUGAAUGCUGCAUCUACUACCAGCCGCUGGUUUACAAAAUGCAGCUGCAUUAACAGCUGCUUUUUUUCCCUCGCCACUUGCAUGAUGAAGCUGGCUUUGGGUUUUCUAACCUCCCAUUUUAUUUAGAGCAGAUUACAAAUCUCUGCAGAUUUUAUCAUGAACAGUUGCAUCCAGUUUUACAUUGUCAUUUUUUUUAGACAGAUACAUUCCAGAAAUGUUUGAGCUAAUGAAAUAACUUUUAUAUUUGUACCAAGGAAUUAUCACCAAAUGAGCUGAAAUUUGAUGCAUGAACAAAAACUGCAUUCAAUCUUGCUACGAAUCUUCAAUUUUUGUUGCCCAUUUCACCUUUCCUGCAUUUUAAGCCAAACUGCAUUAGUAGGUUAGGUCAUUUCUUGUGUUUCUUUAAAGUAUCCCAGUGCCAUCGGGCUGAGGUACACAUGGGAACACAAGGUAAUGCAUGUUUUAUCCCUUCUCCUUGGGUGUUACUGGAAGUGAGUGUCGUGCGGCCCCCAGUAUGGUCAACUGGGAGUUCGGCGUAAAAGGGGAAUUACUUUUUGCCUGAGCAAUUCACACACAGGAUGCAUGUGUUUCCUGUUGCGGCCUGUACCAUGUUUUUUUUUUUGGUGAUUUGGGUAGUUAGAAAUUAAUUACUUGGACCAAACAAGAAGAUGUGUGCAUGCAGUGCGGGCAAAGCUCAUGCAGGUGUAACAUUUUCUCUGUUUUCAGACACGUCUCUAGUCUUCCACAGAAACUGCAACCCACUUUGCAAUGACCAGCCUCCUCCCCAGCUUCCUCCUCUUCCCUGGCUUUUCAAGCGCUCCAAGGUCACAGGUGUCAAGAGUAUAAUUGUACAUACUAACGACUUCUUCUUCUUCGUGUCCCGUAAAGAAAAUAACUCUUGAGGGAUUCACUCCUCCUUCCCCCUCCACAUACCAUGCGGCACUGCGGGCAACCUGCUCUUACUCUUCAAAUCUUGGCCCCUGUGCCAUUCUCUCUCUUGCCUUGCAUCACAGCAAGUUGUGUUUACCAUGCGCUUCCGCAGCUGCUUUCAUUUUGUACAUAGUUAAAUAAAGCAAGGACACCGAGUG
Dermacentor silvarum is the source of this 6352-nucleotide RNA transcript. It is a transcript of the gene named phosphatidylinositol 4-phosphate 5-kinase type-1 alpha-like, with no coding region annotated. The transcript is spliced from 20 exons. NCBI's taxonomy places the organism in Eukaryota, Metazoa, Arthropoda, Arachnida, Ixodida, Ixodidae. The record is from RefSeq and is a predicted model, not a curated record.